This is a long non-coding RNA of Cryptomeria japonica (Japanese cedar), 1253 nucleotides long. RefSeq lists it as uncharacterized. The record is from RefSeq and is a predicted model, not a curated record. NCBI's taxonomy places the organism in Eukaryota, Viridiplantae, Streptophyta, Pinopsida, Cupressales, Cupressaceae. The transcript has 5 exons.
UUUUAUUUAAACCCAAUUUUAGCGCUUAUGGAUUCAAUAUUUUACAUGACAUUUAUAGCUGGUGCAAAAUGUGGUAUUUUGUAUUGCAUUCAGAGUUGAAUGUAGAAAGCAGUAAUUUGCUUGUCAUUCAAAGUUGGGUGCAAAACCUAGAGAUGGAUUUUCUCCACCAUCCAGAGUGGGUAUAAUUAGGACAACUAUCACUUUCAGGGUAUUGAAUUUUACCCUCAGCUUUGUGUGUCUUGAAUUUUACAACUUUCAGGUUAUUGAAUUUUACCCUCCGCCUAUUUGGAAAUCGCCUUUUCAAGUUGCCUUUCGUUUCCUUCUGGAUGAGACUGGUAAUGGGAAGUACCCGACAUAGAAAAGGCCACAAUGUCUGCAUUUUUUCGUGCUGUUAGCGUUAUGGUGGUGCUGCAAAGAAACUCCCAGUGAUUUGAGCCCCGCUCCAAGGAAGAAAGUUGCAGAUCUACAGCAGUCGUCCUUGCGUGAUUUUUCGCAAGCGAUUUUUAGGAAUGUUGGAGGAGUUUGUCAUAUGAAUUAUACACAUGAACAGUGUGGCUUUCUUGAGGCCUAGAGCUCUUGAAAGGAAGCCCUCACAAACUGGGAAGUGAAUUUAUGCACAGGAGUCUUCACUGUGAGGAACUUGCAAAGAAUUUCUCAAAGAAUUUCUAAAGAAAUAGAAGAAGGUGUCAGAAAUCCAGAUGAUUGGAAAUGUUGAGAUGGAUUGCUAUUUGAAAGAUUUUGAAGGACCAAUGUUGGAAGAUUCUGUAGCUUACUACUCUUGAAAGGCCGAUUCUACUCUGAGCAUCAGAAGUAUGAGCAUUAUGUCUUGGAGUGUUUUAAAAAACAUGACCUUUUUCAAAAGGUCUUUAAUAUAUUUGGUUUAGUUUGUUCUUUUUAGUGUUGCAGACUAUGAAAAAAGAAAGUUGUGAUUUUUAUAGGCUCUAAAAGAAGCAUUUAAUACCUUUACAAGAAAGGACCUACAACAAACUCGACUGCAGAAUUUCUCCAUGCAUUUUCUGAUAAUGUACUAAAGAAGAGCAGUAUUGAGAAAUUAAGUGAUGGUCAUGAGAUUGAUCUUGCUCUUGAAAAUGUAGGUUCACCAUAAUUUGCAUAUGCUCGCUUUGAUGAACAUCAAUUUUAUGAUCUAUUUUUACCAAGAACGAAUGAUACAAUUGUAAGUGGAGACGGGAAACAUUUCCCCGCCUUCAUAGUCAUAUUGUGCCAAUAGUAACAUUGGAACUCAUUGUUAUUAA